UCUCCUGAUUCCCAUAUGUGGAAGACUCAGAUCAAGGCUGUCUCUUCAGGGAACCCACUAAAAACCUACCCAGGACUAAUUUAGCUCUCCAAUGGACCACGUAUUUCUUCCUUUUUUAACACCAAGACAGAAGGGCAUCUUCCUUCUUUCCACCUCUGAUCUCUUCAUCCUCCUUUUCUCCCUCAAAAAUGGCUGUUCACUCUGAAUUAAAGGCCAAUUAGUAAGCCCUAGAGGUACUGAAGGAAUAUCUAAGAAGCAAGUGCUGUCACAACAACACUUAUGACCUCACAGAAGGAGCUAGAGCUCUCAAGGUUACAAGAGAUUUUUCAGGGAGGGACUAAUGAUGGUGUCACUGAGAACCUCCAUAUCCUACCUGCUGAACAGCUUUGCUUUCAUUGACCAAUUUUGAGAGUGCCUUUUCCAGGUUGAUGUUGCGUGCUGGCUUGCUGUCCAUUGCUUCUAUUAUGUUUCUGCAUAGGACUGACAGGAGGGUAGCAUUAUUUUCCUCUGGAAGGCACAAUGGAGCAGCCGACUGAAACAGCUGCAUAGAUGCACGGCCAAACAUUGGAUGGAGCUCAGUGAGUUCCACUGGAGAGCUGAGGGAAGGGCUGGAGAAGCAGAGGAGCUUAACGGGCUUCACGAUAUUCCAUGACAAAACCAAAUUUACACAGUAUCGUUCCACAUAUCCAGUCCUACAAAGGAUAAUAAAUGGCAAAGUCCAACACAUUGUGGCAAAGUAAAACCAUAGAUAAAGAAAGAAAUUAAACUUUUCUCAACAAAACAGAGAAGAGAAGCACACAAACAUAAACUAACUUCAAAUUAUGAAAAAACAGAAAGCAACCAUCACUAUUCCUAAAUAUCUCUAAACAUCAAAGAACACAAUUGCCCCCUAAAAAGACAUAAAUUAGCAAACUGGAUAUGGAAUGAGGACCCAGC
Rattus norvegicus (Norway rat) is the source of this 936-nucleotide non-coding RNA. NCBI's taxonomy places the organism in Eukaryota, Metazoa, Chordata, Mammalia, Rodentia, Muridae. The record is from RefSeq and is a predicted model, not a curated record.